UAAUGCUUUUCAUCAGCUAUACUUGCAAGCUGCCUAAUUUUUGAGGUGGGGGGAAUCAUUAGCACUGGAGAAGAGAUUAAUUAGCAUUGACCCAGCGGGCAGGCACGAAGUAUGCAGCUCUCUUUUCAAUCGCUUCGUGUUCCACGAUAUUGUGAUGGGUUUGAAGCAUGUAAUUCUUUAGUAACAACAUCUAAGGACAGCCCGUCAGGUGAAGUUGGGUUUUAAAACAGUGAGAAGUGCUGCUGUGUAGUUUGAUAGUUUCCGUUAUUGGCAUCAGCUCAAGAUUCUGGGACUGCAGCCUGCUACACACCUCCAUACGUUCCUAAGAAUUCUUGUAUCCAUAUAUCUCUUUUCUUAAAAUUUGUUUUGGCGGUGUUAAGAGCUUUUGCUGAGCUUUUGUUUACUAUUCUAUUUUAUAUAUAUUUUGAAUUAUUUUUGUUGUA
Long non-coding RNA from Populus nigra (black poplar), 443 nucleotides. RefSeq lists it as uncharacterized. The transcript is spliced from 3 exons. NCBI's taxonomy places the organism in Eukaryota, Viridiplantae, Streptophyta, Magnoliopsida, Malpighiales, Salicaceae. The record is from RefSeq and is a predicted model, not a curated record.